UACGUAGGGAGCAAGCGUUAUCCGGAUUUAUUGGGUGUAAAGGGUGCGUAGACGGGGAAUCAAGUUAGUUGUGAAAUCCCUCGGCUUAACUGAGGAACUGCAACUAAAACUAAUUUUCUUGAGUGCUGGAGAGGAAAGUGGAAUUCCUAGUGUAGCGGUGAAAUGCGUAGAUAUUAGGAGGAACACCAGUGGCGAAGGCGACUUUCUGGACAGUAACUGACGUUGAGGCACGAAAGUGUGGGGAGCAAACAGG
RNAcentral lists this ribosomal RNA (253 nucleotides) under uncultured bacterium. RNAcentral's name for it is "partial 16S ribosomal RNA". It matches the Rfam family "Bacterial small subunit ribosomal RNA", at positions 524 to 776 of the family's 1533-position model. The record is from RNAcentral.